This 253-nucleotide ribosomal RNA is filed under the name uncultured bacterium. RNAcentral describes it as "partial 16S ribosomal RNA". It matches the Rfam family "Bacterial small subunit ribosomal RNA", at positions 524 to 776 of the family's 1533-position model. The record is from RNAcentral.
UACAGAGGGUGCAAACGUUGCUCGGAAUCAUUGGGCGUAAAGCGCACGUAGGCGGCUUUCUAAGUCGGGGGUGAAAUCCUGGAGCUCAACUCCAGAACUGCCUUCGAUACUGGAAAGCUCGAGUCCGGGAGAGGUGAGUGGAACUGCGAGUGUAGAGGUGAAAUUCGUAGAUAUUCGCAAGAACACCAGUGGCGAAGGCGGCUCACUGGCCCGGUACUGACGCUGAGGUGCGAAAGCGUGGGGAGCAAACAGG